RNAcentral lists this ribosomal RNA (522 nucleotides) under uncultured Lachnospiraceae bacterium. Its description in RNAcentral is "partial 16S ribosomal RNA". Lineage: Bacteria; Bacillati; Bacillota; Clostridia; Lachnospirales; Lachnospiraceae. The record is from RNAcentral.
CACGUAGUUAGCCGGGGGCUUCUUCUUCAGGUACCGUCAUUAUCGUUCCUGCUGACAGAGCUUUACGCGCCGAGGCGCUUCUUCACUCACGCGGCGUCGCUGCAUCAGGGUUUCCCCCAUUGUGCAAUAUUCCCCACUGCUGCCUCCCGUAGGAGUUUGGGCCGUGUCUCAGUCCCAAUGUGGCCGUCCACCCUCUCAGGCCGGCUACCGAUCGUCGCUUUGGUGGGCCGUUACCCCGCCAACUGGCUAAUCGGACGCGGGCUCAUCCCGUACCACCGGAGUUUUCAAGGCCGGGGCAUGCGCCCCCGCUGUCAUGCGGUGUUAGCACCUGUUUCCAGGUGUUAUCCCCCGGUACGGGGCAGGAUUGCCCACGCGUUACUCACCCGUCCGCCACUAGGCCGCGUCCGCCCGGGUCCGGUAAACCUUCCCCGGGCCUUACCGCGGCCCCGUUCGACCUUGCACUGUGUUAGGCACGCCGCCAGCGUUCAUCCCGUGACGUCCAAGGACUCGAAAACCUCGUUA